RNAcentral lists this unclassified non-coding RNA (334 nucleotides) under fungal sp. RNAcentral's name for it is "partial internal transcribed spacer region". The stretch from base 1 to 46 matches the Rfam family "Eukaryotic small subunit ribosomal RNA", at positions 1786 to 1831 of the family's 1831-position model. The record is from RNAcentral. Lineage: Eukaryota; Fungi.
AAGUCGUAACAAGGUCUCCGUAGGUGAACCUGCGGAGGGAUCAUUAACAUGUUUAUACUCAUAUAUAAACAUAUCUAUACAAACAAAUAGAAACUCAAGUAUAAGGAAUAUAUUCAGUUAUACUCUGCAAUACUUAGUCCAUCUCCCUCUCUACAUCUAUAGUAAUAUAGAUAUAGUUUGGCUAUUUUUUUAAAAUAUUAACCCCUUUCCAACUAUUAUAUUCCAUCAAUGACUUAUAUGUGAGUUGAAAUAAAAAUUAAUUUUUUUAUUUAUUUACUCUACAUUAUUCUUUUAAUGUAAAGCACAACUCUUAGCAACGGAUAUCUUGGUUCUC